UGUAGUCGGGGUGAGAGCGUUGAGGCGGUUCCCUUAGGCAAAUCCGGGGGAGCAACGUUGAGACGAAGGACCAGAUCAAUUAGAUCGAGGCUGCUGAUAUCACGCUUCCAGGAAAAUCUUCUAAGCUUCAGCUUACGCAGACCGUACCGUAAACCGACACAGGUGGGUAGGAUGAGAAUUCUAAGGCGCUUGAGAGAACUCGGGUGAAGGAACUAGGCAAAAUGGCACCGUAACUUCGGGAGAAGGUGCGCCUUCACUGGUUAAUAGCUGGAGAAGGCCUCAGAAACCAGGCCGCUGCGACUGUUUAUCGAAAACACAGCACUCUGCAAACACGAAAGUGGACGUAUAGGGUGUGACGCCUGCCCGGUGCUGGAAGGUUAAUUGAUGGGGUCAGCCGCAAGGCGAAGCUCUUGAUCGAAGCCCCAGUAAACGGCGGCCGUAACGAUAACGGUCCUAAGGUAGCGAAAUUCCUUGUCGGGUAAGUUCCGACCUGCGCGAAUGGCGUAACGACAGCGGCGCUGUCUCCACCCGAGACUCAGUGAAAUUGAAAUCGCUGUGAAGAUGCAGCGUUCCCGCGGCAAGACGGAAAGACCCCGUGAACCUUUACUAUAGCUUUACAUUGAACGUUGAGUUCGUCUGUGUAGGAUAGGUGGGAGGCUAUGAAGUGUCGGCGCUAGCUGGCAUGGAGCCAACCUUGAAAUACCACCCUGAUGUGCUUGACGUUCUAACCUAGGUCCGUAAUCCGGAUCGGGGACCAUGUAUGGUGGGUAGUUUGACUGGGGCGGUCUCCUCCCAAAGAGUAACGGAGGAGCACGAAGGUACGCUCAGCGCGGUCGGACAUCGCGCACUGUGUGCAAAGGCAUAAGCGUGCUUGACUGCAAGAUCGACGGAUCAAGCAGGUACGAAAGUAGGUCUUAGUGAUCCGGUGGUUCUGUAUGGAAGGGCCAUCGCUCAACGGAUAAAAGGUACUCCGGGGAUAACAGGCUGAUACCGCCCAAGAGUUCAUAUCGACGGCGGUGUUUGGCACCUCGAUGUCGGCUCAUCACAUCCUGGGGCUGUAGUCGGUCCCAAGGGUAUGGCUGUUCGCCAUUUAAAGUGGUACGCGAGCUGGGUUCAGAACGUCGUGAGACAGUUCGGUCCCUAUCUGUCGUGGGCGUUGGAUAUUUGAGAGGGGCUGCUCCUAGUACGAGAGGACCGGAGUGGACGAACCUCUGGUGUUCCGGUUGUCACGCCAGUGGCAUUGCCGGGUAGCUAUGUUCGGAAGCGAUAACCGCUGAAAGCAUCUAAGCGGGAAGCGCGCCUCAAGAUGAGAUAUCCCGAGACUUAAGUCUCCUAAAGGAACCAGGAAGACUACCUGGUUGAUAGGUCAGGUGUGUAAGUGCAGUAAUGUAUUGAGCUAACUGAUACUAAUGAUCCGUGAGGCUUGAUCGA
This 1431-nucleotide ribosomal RNA is filed under the name metagenome. RNAcentral describes it as "bacterial LSU rRNA". It matches the Rfam family "Bacterial large subunit ribosomal RNA", at positions 1500 to 2925 of the family's 2925-position model. The record is from RNAcentral.